RNAcentral lists this ribosomal RNA (314 nucleotides) under uncultured bacterium. Its description in RNAcentral is "partial 16S ribosomal RNA". It matches the Rfam family "Bacterial small subunit ribosomal RNA", at positions 495 to 807 of the family's 1533-position model. The record is from RNAcentral.
GUAUAAGAGACAGCAGCCGCCACGGGAAUACCGAGGGUGCGAGCGUUAAUCGGAUUUACUGGGCGUAAAGCGUGCGUAGGCGGCUUCUUAAGUCGGAUGUGAAAUCCCUGAGCUUAACUUAGGAAUUGCAUUCGAUACUGGGAAGCUAGAGUAUGGGAGAGGAUGGUAGAAUUCCAGGUGUAGCGGUGAAAUGCGUAGAGAUCUGGAGGAAUACCGAUGGCGAAGGCAGCCAUCUGGCCUAAUACUGACGCUGAGGUACGAAAGCAUGGGGAGCAAACAGGAUUAGAUACCCCAGUAGUCCCUGUCUCUUAUAC